Molecule: ribosomal RNA, 459 nt
Filed under: uncultured bacterium
Lineage: Bacteria
Description: partial 16S ribosomal RNA
Rfam family: Bacterial small subunit ribosomal RNA
Source: RNAcentral
CCUACGGGUGACAGCAGUCGAGAAUCAUUCACAAUGGGGGAAACCCUGAUGGUGCGACGCCGCGUGGGGGAAUGAAGGUCUUCGGAUUGUACACCUCUUUUGUCAGGGGGCAAAGUCACCCACGUGUGGGUGUUGGAGAGUACCUGACGAAACAGCAUCGGCUAACUCCGUGCCAGCAGCCGCGGUAAUACGGAGGAUGCGAGCGUUAUCCGGAUUUAUUGGGUUUAAAGGGUGCGUAGGCGGGUUAUCAAGUCAUCGGUAAAAUCGUGGAGCUCAACUCCAUCCAGCCGUUGAAACUGAUGAUCUUGAGUGGGCGAGAAGUAUGCGGAAUGCGUGGUGUAGCGGUGAAAUGCAUAGAUAUCACGCAGAACUCCGAUUGCGAAGGCAGUUCACUGGACUGCAACUGACACUGAGGUUCGAAAGUGUGGGUAUCAAACAGGAUUAGAUACCCGUGUAGUC